GGUUGUGUAGUGUAGUUGGUUAUCACACCAGAUUCUGAUGUUCAAAAUUCUGGUGACCUCGGUUCGAAUCCGGGCACGACCU
Molecule: transfer RNA, 82 nt
Filed under: Botryobasidium botryosum FD-172 SS1
Lineage: Eukaryota; Fungi; Basidiomycota; Agaricomycetes; Cantharellales; Botryobasidiaceae
Rfam family: tRNA
About the family: Transfer RNA (tRNA) molecules are approximately 80 nucleotides in length. Their secondary structure includes four short double-helical elements and three loops (D, anti-codon, and T loops).
Source: Rfam by way of RNAcentral